This 460-nucleotide ribosomal RNA is filed under the name uncultured bacterium. Its description in RNAcentral is "partial 16S ribosomal RNA". It matches the Rfam family "Bacterial small subunit ribosomal RNA", at positions 338 to 795 of the family's 1533-position model. The record is from RNAcentral.
CCUACGGGUGGCAGCAGUGGGGAAUCUUUCACAAUGGGCGAGAGCCUGAACCAGCCAAGUCGCGUGAAGGAUGAAGGAUCUAUGGUUUGUAAACUUCUUUUAUAUCGGAAUAAAGUAAGGCACGUGUUCCUUUUUGUAUGUCCCAUAUGAUUCAGCCUCGGCUAACUCCGUGCCAGCAGCCGCGGUAAUACGGAGGAUGCGAGAGUUAUCCGGAUUUAUGGGGUUUAAAGGUUGCGUAGGUGGUUAAUUAAGUCAUCGGUGAACGUUGUUGGCUAAACAAUAAGAUUGCCGUUGAAACUGGUUGACUUGAGUAUAUUUGAGGUAGGCGGAAUGCGUGGUGUAGCAGUGAAAUGCAUAGAUAUCACGCAGAACACCGAUAGCGAAGGCAGGUUACUAAGCUAUAACUGACACUGAAGCACGAAAGCGUGGGGAUCAAACAGGAUUAGAUACCCCAGUAGUC